RNAcentral lists this ribosomal RNA (1464 nucleotides) under Triticum aestivum (bread wheat). Its description in RNAcentral is "partial small subunit ribosomal RNA". Lineage: Eukaryota; Viridiplantae; Streptophyta; Magnoliopsida; Poales; Poaceae. The record is from RNAcentral.
AGCCAGCCCACCGAGCAGUGUCCCUUAUCUUAUCCACAAGCUCGUCAUCGCUCCGUCUCCAUUGUUCCUCCUCCUGCAAACUCACGCACCACAGCGCCGCAGCUCCCCCUCCUCUCUCUCCAGGCAACGACGGCCAAAAAUAUUCCAGCCGCACCAACGAAUCCGUUCCUCUCAAGAUCCUCCUCGUCCUCCUACAUCAACCCAAGCCUCCACGGCCGCUGUGUAUGCGUUGACAGUGGGUCGCGAGGGCGUGCGUCCGACGCAUCUGGCCCCGCUUCCGGCGAUGAACGCCUCCUUCGCGCCUCCCUCCUGCUGCGCGUGUCCUUCUCCGGCGAGCCUCCGGUCUUCCGCUCGUCUGCCUGCGGCCAUGGCUGUGGUCCCGCCGCCCGCCAUGCCCUUCUUCCCCGAGCUCCCUUGCCGUCUGGAUCUCUCUGCAAAGCCAUCGGGCCUCCAACUCCGUCGCCUGCACAUUUGGCUCCUCUCCUCUUCCCCCACUGUGGCACGGGCCAAAGCUGUUGCCUCCCGUCGUCAGCAGCUCCUCAUCCCCGCGGUGCCGGGAAUCCCACAGCGAUUACUCGCGGCCAGGGCUCCUCUGCAGGGGAGCUGGCCCCGGCCGUCGUCGCUCCAGCAUCGACCGCUCUGAUGUGGUCGUGUAGUCCCGACCAACCCCGUCCACCAGUUGACCACACCCCUUUUUUCUUUAUGUCGCCGACCUUACGCGGAUGGUCCAUCUCCUCACUCUAUCUUCCUCCGCCAUUCGCUGCCACCAGACAACCACCAUCGCCGUCUAGACCAGAGGACGCCAUGGGCGCCUGCCUUGGAGCUCCCCUGCCAUGGACCUGAUCUGGCCGUCAACUCGCCACCCCAUGCGUGCUCCGGAUCCGGCCGAUCCCGCGCCGCUCAUGCCCUGGUGGCCCUGCCGACAUCGUCGCCUAGGAAGACCACCAUGCCCGCUGCAGGAGCUUCGAGCCGGAUCUGGCCCCUCUCCGACCUCCCUCGCCGUCCUUCAUCCGUUCCCGAUAUCCUCCCGGCGCCAGGAGCUCAGGCGAGCGCCGCCACAAGACCCUGCCUCCUCUGCCCCGUAGCCCGCCAUGGAGGUCGCCGCCUCUCCCGUCUCGAUCCGUCUGCGGCCGGAUCCACGGCGGAGCAGCCGAGAUCCGCCGCCCGUUCCGCGACGCCUCGGCCCGCCAAGGCCAGCGCCGAGGCCGACAAGGCGCGCAGGAAGGCCAAGGCCCUCACCAAGCAGCGGGAGGACUUGCGGGCUAGGCUUGCCUACUGCAAGCACGCCCGCGAGCUCACCUCCAUGCCAGCCAAGGCCACCGCUGCGACGCCAGUUUUUUUUUUACGAAUAGUUUCCCAGAUCCACUUAAUAGGGACUGCGGGUUGAUUUCGCGGAAACAGAGGGACUUUUUUGCAAAAGUGACAACGACGUACGACCAGAAGCACUCCGUGCUUUAUUAGUGU